AGCUAACGCAUUAAGUUAUCCGCCUGGGGAGUACGGCCGCAAGGUUAAAACUCAAAGGAAUUGACGGGGGCCUGCCAAGCGGUGGAGCAUGUGGUUUAAUUGAAGCAACGCGCAGACCUUCCAGCGUUUGACAUGGUAGGACGACUUCCAGAGAUGGAUUUCUUCCCUUCGGGGACUACACACAGGUGCUGCAUGGCUGUCGUCAGCUCGUGUCGUGAGAUGUUGGGUUAAGUCCCGCAACGAGCGCAACCCUCGACUUUAGUUACCAUCAUUAAGUUGGGUACUUUAAAGUAACCGCCGGUGAUAAGCCGGAGGAAGGUGGGGAUGACGUCAAGUCCUCAUGGCCCUUACGCGCUGGGCUACACACGUGCUCAAUGGCAAGUACAGUGGGCAGCAAUCCCGCGAGGGUGAGCUAAUCUCCAAAACUUGUCUCAGUUCGGAUUGUUCUCUGCAACUCGAGAGCAUGAAGCGGAAUCGCUAGUAAUCGCAGAUC
RNAcentral lists this ribosomal RNA (493 nucleotides) under Sphingomonas sp. RNAcentral's name for it is "bacterial SSU rRNA". It matches the Rfam family "Bacterial small subunit ribosomal RNA", at positions 850 to 1350 of the family's 1533-position model. Lineage: Bacteria; Pseudomonadati; Pseudomonadota; Alphaproteobacteria; Sphingomonadales; Sphingomonadaceae. The record is from RNAcentral.